This 385-nucleotide long non-coding RNA is filed under the name Elaeis guineensis (African oil palm). RNAcentral describes it as "long non-coding RNA (EGUI_LNC051034)". The record is from RNAcentral. Lineage: Eukaryota; Viridiplantae; Streptophyta; Magnoliopsida; Arecales; Arecaceae.
UGGUGUUCUCGUUCGUGGGUGCUGGCAUGCAAAAGGCAAGAAAAAGGAAAUUAGAAACAGAACCGCCAUCCAUCCUUCUUCUCAUGUGCACUCUGCGGUAGUUGGUGACAACAGCUAAUACCUUUUUCUUCAGCACACCAGUACUCUUUACAAAAAGACAUUACAUCUUCCAUUAUUUUAGGCAAGCCACAAACAGAAGACCGGCCAGCAUUCAUUGCAAAUCAUGCACAUUGGUGAACUCAAACAUAAACACGUCCUCCCAUACUCUCAAAAUCCAUAGAUAACUGCCAUCAAACUGCAAAGAAAGCAGGCUUCGAGAGGAUCAUCAUUCACCUUUCCAUGAAGAUAGGGGAGGGGUCUCAGAGUCCUUCCAUAUGCUCAUUGA